AACCUGGGAUGUUCGAUAUAUCCGUAUUUUUGAACCUACAAAACUUUAAACGGGAUUCCUAUAUCUCUGUAAUAUGUCAAGCCCUCAUCGCGCAGGGGAAGGCAGAAAAGCAGAUGCGGUCGCCCACCUAGCUAUGGCUAGGAGUCAAAAAACGGUCAACGGCAUUUCGGGGG
RNAcentral lists this non-coding RNA (173 nucleotides) under uncultured Bariatricus sp. RNAcentral describes it as "6S / SsrS RNA". It matches the Rfam family "6S / SsrS RNA". Rfam says of the family: E. coli 6S RNA was the first non coding RNA to be sequenced, but its function was unknown until recently. It consists of 184 nucleotides that fold into an extended hairpin structure with a large single-stranded internal bulge. The 6S RNA specifically associates with RNA polymerase holoenzyme containing the sigma70 specificity factor. Lineage: Bacteria; Bacillati; Bacillota; Clostridia; Lachnospirales; Lachnospiraceae. The record is from RNAcentral.